This is a non-coding RNA of Pelobates cultripes (western spadefoot toad), 462 nucleotides long. Lineage: Eukaryota; Metazoa; Chordata; Amphibia; Anura; Pelobatidae. The record is from the annotation of a GenBank genome assembly.
CCUUAUAUACUAUGCUGCUCAGUGAUUUAUUUGUUACUCUUUACGUUUUCUUUACUGCUGUGGAGUUUAGUAAAGAGAGUUAAUGCAAAAUAGGAAGCCUCCUGUCAUGUUAUAAAAUUACAACACUGCAAGGACUAUUCACCACCAUUUUCUAGAUUUUGUGUGGUAGCUUAUUGCUGUAAAGCAGAACACCUGAAUUUACAAAACACUGCAGACAUUGUAACAAAACAUGAGGGCAAUAAAAGUGCACCACAAGUGCAAUGCAUUAAUGGAACUUGCUUCCAUAACCUUGCAGUCCAAAAUCCAUUGUAUGCAAAAAUAUGAAGCAGCUAAAGGACACCUAUAGUAACUUGUCCGGAAUCCCUUGCAAAGUUGAAACCUACAGCUAUCAUUUGUAGAGGAAAUAUGCUAAGCAGAUAUGAAUAAGAACCGUGUCACCGUGUACACAUGGGUGAAUCUACA